RNAcentral lists this long non-coding RNA (485 nucleotides) under Sorghum bicolor (sorghum). RNAcentral describes it as "long non-coding RNA (SBIC_LNC006300)". Lineage: Eukaryota; Viridiplantae; Streptophyta; Magnoliopsida; Poales; Poaceae. The record is from RNAcentral.
CGAGAGAUAGACAAUGAACCCGCAAGAUUAUAAGAAAAUGAUAAUGAUUACUCAAUAACUUCUUAGAACAAAAGUAGAAUACAACCUUUGCUUACCCCAAUAUGGUAUUCCAGGUUGUAGAGGUACAGCUCGGGAAGCGGGCAACACUUCGGCCCUUCCGCCCAGUGCAACUAGGGGAACGGACCGGGUGCUUACUACUUCUCUUACUCUACACUCUAACUCACUCUCAUAUUCUAUUCCUAACUAGAGGUUAAGGAUAUGAGUGGAAGCUCCGCCUCUCUACUACUACUACUCUUGUAUCUCUCUUUAUUCUUGUGGACUUGAAGCUUGAAUGGAUUGAGUAAUGAUGAAUGAGACGCCCUCUCCCCCUCCUUAUAUAGGUGUGGAAGGUCGGUUUGGGAGGGGGUAAACUGCAAAAUGCAGCCGGGAACCGCGCUAGGGCUUCUCAUGCACCGCCUCUGCAAAAGGCGGUGGGGAGCUGGGCC